GCAUGAUUUUCUUAUCAAAGAUUUAUUGCUUUGAGAUGGACCCGCGGCGCAUUAGCUAGUUGGUAAGGUAACGGCUUACCAAGGCAACGAUGCGUAGCCGACCUGAGAGGGUGAUCGGCCACAUUGGAACUGAGACACGGUCCAGACUCCUACGGGAGGCAGCAGUGGGGAAUAUUGCGCAAUGGGGGAAACCCUGACGCAGCAACGCCGCGUGGGUGAUGAAGGUCUUCGGAUUGUAAAGCCCUGUUUUCUAGGACGAUAAUGACGGUACUAGAGGAGGAAGCCACGGCUAACUACGUGCCAGCAGCCGCGGUAAUACGUAGGUGGCGAGCGUUGUCCGGAUUUACUGGGCGUAAAGGGUGCGUAGGCGGAUGUUUAAGUGGGAUGUGAAAUCCCCGGGCUUAACCUGGGGGCUGCAUUCCAAACUGGAUAUCUAGAGUGCAGGAGAGGAAAGCGGAAUUCCUAGUGUAGCGGUGAAAUGCGUAGAGAUUAGGAAGAACACCAGUGGCGAAGGCGGCUUUCUGGACUGUAACUGACGCUGAGGCACGAAAGCGUGGGUAGCAAACAGGAUUAGAUACCCUGGUAGUCCACGCCGUAAACGAUGGAUACUAGGUGUAGGGGGUAUCAACUCCCCCUGUGCCGCAGUUAACACAAUAAGUAUCCCGCCUGGGGAGUACGGUCGCAAGAUUAAAACUCAAAGGAAUUGACGGGGGCCCGCACAAGCAGCGGAGCAUGUGGUUUAAUUCGAAGCAACGCGAAGAACCUUACCUGGACUUGACAUCCCUUGCAUAGCCUAGAGAUAGGUGAAGCCCUUCGGGGCAAGGAGACAGGUGGUGCAUGGUUGUCGUCAGCUCGUGUCGUGAGAUGUUAGGUUAAGUCCUGCAACGAGCGCAACCCUUGUUAUUAGUUGCUACCAUUAAGUUGAGCACUCUAAUGAGACUGCCUGGGUAACCAGGAGGAAGGUGGGGAUGACGUCAAAUCAUCAUGCCCCUUAUGUCCAGGGCUACACACGUGCUACAAUGGUAGGUACAAUAAGACGCAAGACCGUGAGGUGGAGCAAAACUUAUAAAACCUAUCUCAGUUCGGAUUGUAGGCUGCAACUCGCCUACAUGAAGCUGGAGUUGCUAGUAAUCGCGAAUCAGAAUGUCGCGGUGAAUACGUUCCCGGGCCUUGUACACACCGCCCGUCACACCAUGAGAGCUGGUAACACCCGAAGUCCGUGAGGUAACCGUAAGGAGCCAGCGGCCGAAGGUGGGAUUAGUGAUUGGGGUGAAGUCGUAACAAGGUAGCCGUAGGAGAACCUGCGGCUGGAUCACCUCCUUUCUA
Molecule: ribosomal RNA, 1326 nt
Filed under: Clostridium botulinum
Lineage: Bacteria; Bacillati; Bacillota; Clostridia; Eubacteriales; Clostridiaceae
Description: bacterial SSU rRNA
Rfam family: Bacterial small subunit ribosomal RNA
Source: RNAcentral